The sequence is a ribosomal RNA, 820 nucleotides long. It matches the Rfam family "Bacterial small subunit ribosomal RNA", at positions 61 to 863 of the family's 1533-position model.
GUCGAGCGGACAGAAGGGAGCUUGCUCCCGGAAGUCAGCGGCGGACGGGUGAGUAACACGUAGGUAACCUGCCCCUUAGACUGGGAUAACUCCGGGAAACCGGAGCUAAUACGGGAUAAUAAAGAGAAUCACCUGAUUCUCUUUUGAAAGACGGUUUCGGCUGUCACUAAGGGAUGGGCCUGCGGCGCAUUAGCUAGUUGGUAAGGUAACGGCUUACCAAGGCGACGAUGCGUAGCCGACCUGAGAGGGUGAUCGGCCACACUGGGACUGAGACACGGCCCAGACUCCUACGGGAGGCAGCAGUAGGGAAUCUUCCGCAAUGGACGAAAGUCUGACGGAGCAACGCCGCGUGAGUGAGGAAGGCCUUCGGGUCGUAAAGCUCUGUUGUGAGGGAAGAACAAGUACCGGCGUAACUACCGGUACCUUGACGGUACCUCACCAGAAAGCCACGGCUAACUACGUGCCAGCAGCCGCGGUAAUACGUAGGUGGCAAGCGUUGUCCGGAAUUAUUGGGCGUAAAGCGCGCGCAGGCGGCUUCUUAAGUCUGAUGUGAAAUCUCGGGGCUCAACCCCGAGCGGCCAUUGGAAACUGGGAAGCUUGAGUGCAGAAGAGGAGAGUGGAAUUCCACGUGUAGCGGUGAAAUGCGUAGAUAUGUGGAGGAACACCAGUGGCGAAGGCGACUCUCUGGUCUGUAACUGACGCUGAGGCGCGAAAGCGUGGGGAGCAAACAGGAUUAGAUACCCUGGUAGUCCACGCCGUAAACGAUGAGUGCUAGGUGUUAGGGGUUUCGAUGCCCGUAGUGCCGAAGUAAACACAUUAA